This 324-nucleotide ribosomal RNA is filed under the name uncultured Enterobacteriaceae bacterium. RNAcentral's name for it is "bacterial SSU rRNA". It matches the Rfam family "Bacterial small subunit ribosomal RNA", at positions 355 to 658 of the family's 1533-position model. Lineage: Bacteria; Pseudomonadati; Pseudomonadota; Gammaproteobacteria; Enterobacterales; Enterobacteriaceae. The record is from RNAcentral.
UGGGAAGUAUUGCAUCAAUGGCAGGCAAGCCAUGACUGCAGCCAUGCCGCGCUGUAUGAAGAAGGCCAAUUCGGGGCUUUGGUUAAAGAUACUUUCAGCGAGGAGGAAGGCAUUAAGGUUAAUAACCUUAGUGAUUGACGUUACUCGCAGAAGAAGCACCGGCUAACUCCGUGCCAGCAGCCGCGGUAAUACGGAGGGUGCAAGCGUUAAUCGGAAUUACUGGGCGUAAAGCGCACGCAGGCGGUCUGUCAAGUCGGAUGUGAAAUCCCCGGGCUCAACCUGGGAACUGCAUCCGAAACUGGCAGGCUAGAGUCUUGUAGAGGG